This 459-nucleotide ribosomal RNA is filed under the name uncultured bacterium. RNAcentral describes it as "partial 16S ribosomal RNA". It matches the Rfam family "Bacterial small subunit ribosomal RNA", at positions 338 to 795 of the family's 1533-position model. The record is from RNAcentral.
CCUACGGGAGGCAGCAGUGAGGAAUAUUGGUCAAUGGGCGGGAGCCUGAACCAGCCAAGCCGCGUGAGGGAAGAAGGUACAGCGUAUCGUAAACCUCUUUUGUCAGGGAACAAAGGCGGGGACUAGUCCCCGGAUGAGGGUACCUGAAGAAAAAGCAUCGGCUAACUCCGUGCCAGCAGCCGCGGUAAUACGGAGGAUGCGAGCGGUAUCCGGAUUUAUUGGGUUUAAAGGGUGCGUAGGCGGAUCGUUAAGUCAGUGGUAAAAUUGAGGGGCUCAACCCCUUCCCGCCAUUGAAACUGGCGUUCUUGAGUGGAAGAGAAGUAUGCGGAAUGCGUGGUGUAGCGGUGAAAUGCAUAGAUAUCACGCAGAACCCCGAUUGCGAAGGCAGCAUGCCGGCUUCCGACUGACGCUGAAGCACGAAAGCGUGGGGAUCGAACAGGAUUAGAUACCCUUGUAGUC